This 432-nucleotide ribosomal RNA is filed under the name uncultured bacterium. RNAcentral's name for it is "partial 16S ribosomal RNA". It matches the Rfam family "Bacterial small subunit ribosomal RNA", at positions 29 to 507 of the family's 1533-position model. The record is from RNAcentral.
AACGAACGCUGGCGGCAUGCCUAACACAUGCAAGUCGAACGAGACCUUCGGGUCUAGUGGCGCACGGGUGCGUAACGCGUGGGAACCUGCCCUUAGGUUCGGAAUAACUCCCCGAAAGGGGUGCUAAUACCGGAUAAUGUCUUCGGACCAAAGAUUUAUCGCCUUUGGAUGGGCCCGCGUUGGAUUAGCUAGUUGGUAGGGUAAAAGCCUACCAAGGCGACGAUCCAUAGCUGGUCUGAGAGGAUGAUCAGCCACACUGGGACUGGGACACGGCCCAGACUCCAACGGGAGGCAGCAGUGGGGAAAAUUGGACAAUGGGCGAAAGCCUGAUCCAGCAAGGCCGGGUGGAUGAUGAAGGCCUUAGGGUUGUAAGCUCUUUUACCCGGGAUGAUAAUGACAGUACCGGGAGAAUAAGCUCCGGCUAACUCCGUG